Molecule: ribosomal RNA, 464 nt
Filed under: Vreelandella stevensii
Lineage: Bacteria; Pseudomonadati; Pseudomonadota; Gammaproteobacteria; Oceanospirillales; Halomonadaceae
Description: partial 16S ribosomal RNA
Rfam family: Bacterial small subunit ribosomal RNA
Source: RNAcentral
CCUACGGUGGCAGCAGUGGGGAAUAUUGGACAAUGGGCGAAAGCCUGAUCCAGCCAUGCCGCGUGUGUGAAGAAGGCCUUCGGGUUGUAAAGCACUUUCAGUGGGGAAGAAAGCCUUGGGGCUAAUACCCUCGAGGAAGGACAUCACCCACAGAAGAAGCACCGGCUAACUCCGUGCCAGCAGCCGCGGUAAUACGGAGGGUGCGAGCGUUAAUCGGAAUUACUGGGCGUAAAGCGCGCGUAGGCGGUCUGAUAAGCCGGUUGUGAAAGCCCCGGGCUCAACCUGGGGACGGCAUCCGGAACUGUCAGGCUAGAGUGCAGGAGAGGAAGGUAGAAUUCCCGGUGUAGCGGUGAAAUGCGUAGAGAUCGGGAGGAAUACCAGUGGCGAAGGCGGCCUUCUGGACUGACACUGACGCUGAGGUGCGAAAGCGUGGGUAGCAAACAGGAUUAGAUACCCUAGUAGUC